Molecule: ribosomal RNA, 262 nt
Filed under: uncultured bacterium
Lineage: Bacteria
Description: partial 16S ribosomal RNA
Rfam family: Bacterial small subunit ribosomal RNA
Source: RNAcentral
GUCCACGCCCUAACGAUGAACACUAGUCGUCGCUAUGCUAGUCAUGGCGGUGAUGCACUUAACAGAUUAAGUGUUCCGCCUGGGGAGUACGGUCGCAAGAUUAAACUCAAAGGAAUAGACGGGGACCCGCACAAGUGGUGGAGCAUGUGGUUUAAUUCGAAGAUACGCGAAACCUUACCUGGCCUUGACAUUGAUAGAAUCUGCUAGAGAUAGCGGAGUGCCAGUUUACUGGAGCUUGAAACAGGUGCUGCACGGCUGUCGU